ACCUACAGUUCCUCUUUUGGCUGCUCACAAAAGGCAAGCGUCUGUAGAAACUGUUGUGAAAAAUUAUGAAGAACACUAUGCUGCUAUGCACAUUCAAGUAGCUUUUAGGAGAUACUUGGACCGCAAAAGCCUGCGGAGACCUACAGUUCCUCUUUUGGCUGCUCACAAAAGGCGAGCGUCUGUAGAAACUGUUGUGAAAAAUUAUGAAGAACACUAUGCUGCUACGUGCAUUCAAGUAGCUUUUAGGAGAUACUUGGACCGCAAAAGCCUGCGGAGACCUACAGUUCCUUUUUUGGCUGCUCACAAAAGGCGAGCGUCUGUAGAAACUGUUGUGAAAAAUUAUGAAGAACACUAUGCUGCUACGCGCAUUCAAGUAGCUUUUAGGAGAUACUUGGACCGCAAAAGCCUGAGGAGACUAGUAGUUCUGCAAAAUGCUAUCCAAACC
Molecule: long non-coding RNA, 445 nt
Filed under: Fragaria vesca (wild strawberry)
Lineage: Eukaryota; Viridiplantae; Streptophyta; Magnoliopsida; Rosales; Rosaceae
Description: long non-coding RNA (FVES_LNC002651)
Source: RNAcentral